This 415-nucleotide ribosomal RNA is filed under the name uncultured bacterium. RNAcentral's name for it is "partial 16S ribosomal RNA". It matches the Rfam family "Bacterial small subunit ribosomal RNA", at positions 357 to 788 of the family's 1533-position model. The record is from RNAcentral.
GGGAAUAUUGGACAAUGGGGGCAACCCUGAUCCAGCAAUGCCGCGUGUGUGAAGAAGGUUUUCGGAUUGUAAAGCACUUUCGACGGGGACGAUGAUGACGGUACCCGUAGAAGAAGCCCCGGCUAACUUCGUGCCAGCAGCCGCGGUAAUACGAAGGGGGCUAGCGUUGCUCGGAAUGACUGGGCGUAAAGGGCGUGUAGGCGGUUUGUACAGCCAGAUGUGAAAUCCCCGGGCUUAACCUGGGAGCUGCAUUUGAUACGUGCAGACUAGAGUGUGAGAGAGGGUUGUGGAAUUCCCAGUGUAGAGGUGAAAUUCGUAGAUAUUGGGAAGAACACCGGUGGCGAAGGCGGCAACCUGGCUCAUAACUGACGCUGAGGCGCGAAAGCGUGGGGGAGCAAACAGGAUUAGAUACCCU